AUUGAACGCUGGCGGCAUGCUUUACACAUGCAAGUCGAACGGCAGCGGGGAGGAGCUUGCUUCUCUGCCGGCGAGUGGCGAACGGGUGAGUAAUACAUCGGAACGUGUCGAGAAGAGGGGGAUAACCACCCGAAAGGGUGGCUAACACCGCAUAAAUUCUGAGGAAGAAAGCUGGGGACCUGGGAAUAGGCCUAGCGCUUUUUGAGCGGCCGAUGUCGGAUUAGCUAGUUGGUGAGGUAAAGGCUCACCAAGGCGAAGAUCUGUAGCGGGUCUGAGAGGAUGAUCCGCCACACUGGGACUGAGACACGGCCCAGACUCCUACGGGAGGCAGCAGUGGGGAAUUUUGGACAAUGGGGGCAACCCUGAUCCAGCCAUGCCGCGUGUAUGAAGAAGGCCUUAGGGUUGUAAAGUACUUUUGUUAGGGAAGAAAAGUCAGCUGUGAAUAAUGGCUGAUACUGACGGUACCUAAAGAAUAAGCACCGGCUAACUACGUG
This 494-nucleotide ribosomal RNA is filed under the name uncultured bacterium. Its description in RNAcentral is "partial 16S ribosomal RNA". It matches the Rfam family "Bacterial small subunit ribosomal RNA", at positions 30 to 507 of the family's 1533-position model. The record is from RNAcentral.